Piliocolobus tephrosceles (Ugandan red Colobus) is the source of this 152-nucleotide long non-coding RNA. RefSeq lists it as uncharacterized. The record is from RefSeq and is a predicted model, not a curated record. Lineage: Eukaryota; Metazoa; Chordata; Mammalia; Primates; Cercopithecidae. The transcript is spliced from 3 exons.
GAUGUCAUCUGUGAAACCCCAUGGAUGUGUUCCGGAGUACAAAUCAGGAAUGGUAGUUACUUUGAGGUCCCAUCCAGACCUCUGAAGUUGAACAAGGGAGAUAAGUACCUUUAAAAGAAGAAGAAGAAGAAGAAAAGAAUAAGAAGAAGAGG